This 3585-nucleotide long non-coding RNA is filed under the name Sus scrofa (pig). RNAcentral describes it as "lncRNA (ENSSSCG00040076030.1)". The record is from RNAcentral. Lineage: Eukaryota; Metazoa; Chordata; Mammalia; Artiodactyla; Suidae.
AUCCAGACCUAGAAUUUUGUGGAGCAUUUUAGGCUAGAGAUUGAAAAAUCAACUGGGAUACACGGUGGGGUGGGCAGGUGCUAAAGAAAAAGAUAGAGGUAGGUGAGCUAUCUUUUAACAAUCUAAUUGUGGUCUCAGUCUCUCUCCCUCUCUCCUUUUUUCUUGGAAGGACAGUGUCACAGAUCAAGUUCCCCUGGAAAAAAAGACUCGGAAAUGGAGAUUUGUGUGCAUUCUGUGCAUGGAGGUGCUCUCAGGUCAACACCUGGAAGGGAAGGGGAGGAGGCAGGAUGGGGCAGGAGAAGGCGGGCUGUGAUACUAUCACAACAGACACCUCAGCCCAGCGCACAGGAAGUUCUGGAGCCUGGAUGGCCCUACAGAGGGGUUCCGAAUUGAGGAACAAGGGAUGAGCCUUUGCAUCCAUGUAUCAAGCAGUCACUGACCACGGGCUGCCCCUGGGGACAAAUCAGAUCCAUUCACACAAAGGCAGUUAGGGAUGGAGGAAGUUCAAAACUUAAGCGAGAGUGAGAUGAUGGACCUGCCAGCACGCUAGGCAGCUGGAGGAGCAAGAGCUGCAGUCCUGAAGGCUGGGGUGGAUAUGGGUGCGCACCGGAGCAUUCACCAGAAGAGGUAUGGGGGGUGGGGGUUUUUGUUUGUUUUGUUUCUUCAUUGUGAAAUAUUUCAGAUAUACAAAUGGAGAAUAAUAUGACAAACAUCUGCACAGCCAUAGUCCAGUUAAUAAAUCAGAAUGUUACAAAUUCAGCUGAAUUACACCCUGUGUAGCUUUACCGAAUCCCAUGUUUUCUUUCUUAAAUAUUUACGAAGGACCUUAUAGUCAUUCCUUCACUCAACAAAUAAAUGUUUAUCAGGUACCUACCAUGUUCCAAGCACUGGUCCAUAUCUGGGAAGACAGCAGUUAAAUAGACAAAACCCUGCCCUUGUGAGGCUCACAUUCUAGUCUUCUGUUCUUAGUUCCAAACCAUAGUGGAUGAACAUACAGCAGACCAGUUGGGCAUGAAGUGGUCAGAGAAGGCUGCACAAGGGCAGUGCAGCUGGGCUAACCUCGGAGGAUGAUGCCUAGAAACUCUGGUUCUCCUUUCAAGGUCCAGCUAUGCAUUAGCUUCUUAGAGAAGCCUUCCCAGGACCCUUGGAGAGAUUGCCACUCAUUCCCAAGAACACCUCCAUACACUCAUCACAUUGUUUCUGCAAGUUGUCCUACCAGUUUGUCUUCGUGCUAAGGAGUGAGCUUUUUGACAGCACAAUCUGGGUCAAACCAUGGGCAUCAACAGUUCUUCCAUUAGACUGUAAACUCCUGGAAGGUCUAACCCAUGUCUUGUUCACCAUUACCCAAAGCUGAGCACACAUGGUCAAGUAAUAAAUCUUUGUUGAAUUCAAGGAAGGUAGAAAGUACUUAACAAAUGGUGAAUGAAUAAAUAAAUAAAUGAGUUACAAGUGUUAGGUUAUGAGAGGGAAGUUGAACUGCAUUUUCGAACCACCUAGGGAUUCAUAAUUUUUGACUCACCACCUGUUGAUUAAAAAUUGAAGAGCUAGCCGUCUGAGGGAACCUGAUUUAUGUAAUAUAUUGUGUCUUCUUUGUGACAUGUCUAAUGUUGUAUGGCUCACAGCCAGAUCUUUAAUUGGGCAUCUGUGUUGUUGAAGAUGAUUAUGAUUUACUGACUAUUAAAUAGCAAGUACCGUUGUUUGUCAUUUUAAAAAUGGAAGUAUCAAGGGGCUUCAUAACUAACUCAAUCUUAGCCCACAAAAGAUACGAAAUCUCCCAGUUUACUGCCUUCACCCAGAGACAUUUUCCUUCUUAGCUGACACUCCUUUUUUUGAGCACACUCCAUCAGUAUUAUUUGCAAGUGAGGUCAAGCCAUUUAACUUCAAAUAAAGCCAUCCGGAGCAUAUGACCUUGAGAUUUAAAAGCACAAAAUGAGUACAAAGUGAACAAUCAUUUUAUGCACUUUACGGAUAUCACAGAUCUCUCUUCAAAUCAACAGUCAUCGCAUGGGAUGUUCUCCUGCAACUUCAAAAGGGAAACAUUAGAAGAGCCCAUCAAUCCGUGUUAGCAUGCUUGAAAGCCCUGACUCAGUGCCCAGCUCAUGGUAGGUCCUCACUUGAAUGAAUGAAUGAAGAUUCAUUCCUAUGUUUUGUUACGAUGCUCUGGUAUAUGGCUGCUUUUGACAAUCAUUGUAUCUGUAAGAUUCAUUAUGUUGUUGUGUGUAACAGUAGUUACUGUUGUUGUACUAUCUAAUUUUAGGAAUACACCACAAUUUACUAAUCCACUUGUUUAAAAAGCUAUCUAUCCCUCCCCCAUUGAAUUUCUUUUGUACUUUUGUCAAAAAUCAGUUGGGAACAUUUUGUAUAAAUCUAUUUCUAAAAUUCUCUGUUCUAUUUCAUUGGUCUGCUAGUACCAUACUAUCCUUUCUUAAAUUUAUAUAUUUCCACAAAUAUUUUUUUUUGUCUUUUUUUAGGGCUACACCCAUGGCUUAUGGAGGUUCCCGGAGGGGGUCAGUUCGGAGAAGACUGGUGAAUCCCCAAGAUGCAGGGAUAAAAUAAACCUUGCUGAUUUGAACAUUACUCAUACACAUCCUCAGUAACAUCCAUGUAUUUGAGCAUCUCCAGCCAUCAAAAGUGAGAUCUGGAUUUGGGAGGACCCCAGGGACACAUCUACUUCAUAUUGGUCUCAAUGACCUUGAAAGACAAGGUCAGUGCUGGAAAUUGAAGGCUCCUUAAUGCAAGAGACCUCCCUAGGUAGCUCAGACCAAAUUCAACCAAACUAGCUACAGCUUCUGCUAGGACACAUGAACCAAGCUGCUUCUUACAUUAAGGUAGACACAUUCCAGACCAUGAGACCUAUAUGUUCACCACACUGGUUGAUCAAGGGUGGGGUGUAUAUGAGAGCAGCCAAUUCACUGGUUGACUAAGGACCCAUGCAGUGGCCUGGAGAAAAACACUGCCCCCAAAAGAACAAUGGUAAGUAACUAAGCCAAUCAGAUUCUCUCUUGAGACUUUGUAAGUGGCAAAUGGUAUCAGGUAGUUUUCAUUUGGUUGGUUGAUUGAUUGGCUGUUUUUUUUUUUUUUUUUUUCUUUUGGAGAAGAUGCCAGAAAACACACAAAGAGGAGCAGAAACUUGGGGCUGGCUAGAGUGUGUCCAUGGCAGGGCACCGGAGCGAAGGGCGGAAAGUCAGGCGCAGAAGGGAGAGGAGGUUACCUAUUUCUAGGUCUCCUACUCUUCUCAGUGACUCCAGUUCUCAUUUCUGUGAGGCUCACUGCACAAACACUUCUGGGGUGCUGUGGGUUCCUGCUAUCCUUUAGGUUCUGUGUAUCAUAAAAAAUAACACAACACUAAGGAAAACCGAAAUCAAUCUUUUUCUUGCAACCAAAGAUCUGACCUAAUAUAACAGGUCUUCCCAGGACCCCUAUGGGUCCCUUGGGGCUACAGCACACCAGGAAGAUGCUGCAAAGGCCCAAAACGUGUUCGUGAUCAUAGCACGCAUUUCACAGGACAAGUUUCCUCUGUCAUGUGCUGGGGCAGCAGGAAGAGGCAAUGAGACAUCAGAUCACAGGGAGUGUCUGCUUGAAGCU